GAGUUUGAUUCUGGCUCAGGAUGAACGCUGGCGGCGUGCCUAACACAUGCAAGUCGAACGGAGAACUUAAGUGGAAGUUUUCGGAUGGAAACUUUUGUUCUUAGUGGCGGACGGGUGAGUAACGCGUGGGCAACCUGCCUCAUACAGGGGGACAACAGACGGAAACGUCUGCUAAGACCGCAUACGUCUUUUUGGUCGCAUGACUGAGAAGGGAAAAGAGCAAUCUGGUAUGAGAUGGGCCCGCGUCUGAUUAGCUAGUUGGUAAGGUAACGGCUUACCAAGGCAACGAUCAGUAGCCGGACUGAGAGGUCGGACGGCCACAUUGGGACUGAGACACGGCCCAAACUCCUACGGGAGGCAGCAGUGGGGGAUAUUGCACAAUGGAGGAAACUCUGAUGCAGCGACGCCGCGUGAGUGAAGAAGUAUUUCGGUAUGUAAAGCUCUAUCAGCAGGGAAGAUGAUGACGGU
RNAcentral lists this ribosomal RNA (468 nucleotides) under Catonella sp. canine oral taxon 158. RNAcentral describes it as "bacterial SSU rRNA". It matches the Rfam family "Bacterial small subunit ribosomal RNA", at positions 9 to 458 of the family's 1533-position model. The record is from RNAcentral. Lineage: Bacteria; Bacillati; Bacillota; Clostridia; Lachnospirales; Lachnospiraceae.